AACGAGCGCUGGCGGCAGGCCUAACACAUGCAAGUCGAGCGCGCCCUUCGGGGUGAGCGGCGGACGGGUGAGUAACGCGUGGGAACGUGCCCUUCUCUGCGGAAUAGCCUCGGGAAACUGAGAGUAAUACCGCAUACGCCCUUUGGGGGAAAGAUUUAUCGGAGAAGGAUCGGCCCGCGUUGGAUUAGGUAGUUGGUGGGGUAAUGGCCCACCAAGCCGACGAUCCAUAGCUGGUUUGAGAGGAUGAUCAGCCACACUGGGACUGAGACACGGCCCAGCCUCCUACGGGAGGGAGGAGUGGGGAAUCUUAGACAAUGGGGGCAAACCUGAUCUAGCCAUGCCGCGUGAGUGAUGAAGGCCUUAGGGUUGUAAAGCUCUUUCAGCUGGGAAGAUAAUGACGGUACCAGCAGAAGAAGCCCCGGCUAACUCCGUG
Molecule: ribosomal RNA, 433 nt
Filed under: uncultured bacterium
Lineage: Bacteria
Description: partial 16S ribosomal RNA
Rfam family: Bacterial small subunit ribosomal RNA
Source: RNAcentral